Molecule: ribosomal RNA, 500 nt
Filed under: uncultured bacterium
Lineage: Bacteria
Description: partial 16S ribosomal RNA
Rfam family: Bacterial small subunit ribosomal RNA
Source: RNAcentral
AUUGAACGCUGGCGGCAGGCCUAACACAUGCAAGUCGAGCGGCAGCGGGACCUUCGGGUUGCCGGCGAGCGGCGGACGGGUGAGUAAUGCCUAGGAAUCUGCCUGUUAGUGGGGGAUAACGCGGGGAAACUCGCGCUAAUACCGCAUACGUCCUACGGGAGAAAGCGGGGGCUCUUCGGACCUCGCGCUAACAGAUGAGCCUAGGUCGGAUUAGCUAGUUGGUGGGGUAAUGGCCCACCAAGGCGACGAUCCGUAACUGGUCUGAGAGGAUGGUCAGUCACACUGGAACUGAGACACGGUCCAGACUCCUACGGGAGGCAGCAGUGGGGAAUAUUGGACAAUGGGCGAAAGCCUGAUCCAGCCAUGCCGUGUGUGUGAAGAAGGUCUUCGGAUUGUAAAGCACUUUAAGUCGGGAGGAAGGGCUGUAGGCUAAUACCUUGCAGUUUUGACGUUACCGGCAGAAUAAGCACCGGCUAACUUCGUGCCAGCAGCCGCCGUAA